GUCCUCCAGCUCCCUGUGCCGAAUUACAACCCCCCCAACCGCUUCACAUACGCUGCCAUCACCUUAUUGACCUUUCCCUUAAUUUUUGCUACUGCGGAAGGAUUCCGCGCGUGUCGCCAGUGAAACCUCGGAACCAUUUCCGACCAUACGACCAUAACCCCCGGCACCAACUCCGUCAGCUUGUCCACAUCCCUCUUCAUACACUCAAUCAAUACCUUUUGAG
This is a non-coding RNA of Pelobates cultripes (western spadefoot toad), 223 nucleotides long. NCBI's taxonomy places the organism in Eukaryota, Metazoa, Chordata, Amphibia, Anura, Pelobatidae. The record is from the annotation of a GenBank genome assembly.